UACAGAGGGGGCAAGCGUUGUUCGGAAUCACUGGGCUUAAAGGGCGCGUAGGCGGGCUGCCGCGUCCGGGGUGAAAUCCCACGGCUCAACCGUGGAACGGCCCCGGGCACGGGCGGCCUCGAGGAAGGUAGGGGCGUGCGGAACUGUGGGUGGAGCGGUGAAAUGCGUUGAUAUCCACAGGAACUCCGGUGGCGAAGGCGGCACGCUGGACCUUUUCUGACGCUGAGGCGCGAAAGCCAGGGGAGCGAACGGG
This 253-nucleotide ribosomal RNA is filed under the name uncultured bacterium. Its description in RNAcentral is "partial 16S ribosomal RNA". It matches the Rfam family "Bacterial small subunit ribosomal RNA", at positions 524 to 776 of the family's 1533-position model. The record is from RNAcentral.